GAACCAGAGCAACUCCAUCUUAAACAGGAGCUGGAUCCAAGAAUUCUCUCUUGGGAUCUGGAUGGGACCCCUUUCCUGUAACAGAAUUACAGGAGUGAGCCACAGCACCUGGCCUGGAAUUUCCACGCAUGAUUUGGAAGCACUAAAGAAAGGCCAUGUGAACACACAGCACGAAGAUGGCCUUCUGCAAGCCAGAGGCCUCACCAGGAACUAACUGUCAACACCUUGAUCUUGGAUUCCCAGCCUACAGAAGCAUGAGAAAAUAAAUUUCUGUUGUUUAAGCCACCCA
Macaca mulatta (Rhesus monkey) is the source of this 289-nucleotide non-coding RNA. The record is from RefSeq and is a predicted model, not a curated record. Lineage: Eukaryota; Metazoa; Chordata; Mammalia; Primates; Cercopithecidae.